Small nuclear RNA from Jaculus jaculus (lesser Egyptian jerboa), 104 nucleotides. The record is from Ensembl. NCBI's taxonomy places the organism in Eukaryota, Metazoa, Chordata, Mammalia, Rodentia, Dipodidae.
GUGCUCGCUUCAGCAGCACAUUUACUAAAAUAGGAACAAAACAAAGAUUAGCAUGGCCCCUGCACAAGGAUGACAUGCAAAUUUGUGAAGUGUCAUAUAUAUAU